Molecule: long non-coding RNA, 300 nt
Filed under: Dasypus novemcinctus (nine-banded armadillo)
Lineage: Eukaryota; Metazoa; Chordata; Mammalia; Cingulata; Dasypodidae
Description: lncRNA (ENSDNOG00000050525.1)
Source: RNAcentral
CGCCGAGGCUCCGCUCACCGGCCCUGCGCCUCGGCGCGCGCAGUCGCAGCACGCGCUGUUUGCGCAGGGCCGGUGCCGUGGAGGCGGGGCAAGGACACUACUAGGGAAGGCAUUUCUCUUCCCUGACGCGAAAAGCAAGGGCGUCACUCUGGAACUAAGCAUGCUGAUAAUGUGUACACCAAGCCCCCAGAGGUAGGAAGGUACCUUAGGGCUCAAGAAGAGAAACCAGUAAGUACCUUUAAUUUUCCUACUUUGAUCUGUCUUUUUUGUCUCUAGUGCCGGGUUUCUUAACCUUUUUUG